Long non-coding RNA from Apis laboriosa (Himalayan honeybee), 231 nucleotides. RefSeq lists it as uncharacterized. The record is from RefSeq and is a predicted model, not a curated record. The transcript has 3 exons. NCBI's taxonomy places the organism in Eukaryota, Metazoa, Arthropoda, Insecta, Hymenoptera, Apidae.
GACAUUCCAAUUCAUUAUUUGCUGUUGAAAAGUUACAUGAGGAUUUCGAUCAGAAAUUAAUUUUUUUUUUUUUUUUUUUGAGAAAAACGAAUAUUUCCAAGAAGAAGGAAGGAAACAUUGGAACAAAUUUAACAACUAAACACAAUUAAAGCAUUGAGUGGAAUGUACUCAUAUAUAAAGAAAAAAAAUGAAGCAAUCCUGUUUGAUAAAUACUAAAAUAAGAGAGAUAUU